AAUUCUCAAACCACUACCUUUGUGUUGUGGCUUGGAUAGUUGGGUGUUGCCUAAUUUAAAAAUUGGGCUCUCCUUAAAUAUAUAAGUGGUACAUUUAAGAAACUUGUUAGGUGUUGUAAAUUUAUCAAUACAUCUAUGUUUCUGAAAUAUACUGCUCCUAAUAAAACCUCUUUGAUGA
This 178-nucleotide unclassified non-coding RNA is filed under the name uncultured Inocybaceae. Its description in RNAcentral is "sequence contains ITS2". Lineage: Eukaryota; Fungi; Basidiomycota; Agaricomycetes; Agaricales. The record is from RNAcentral.